CGUCGUGGCUGGCCGUUGUUCCUCGCGGUGGCAUGCUGAUAAAUCUCCUCCUCACCGUAUGAGGACACUGCUAAUGCGGCGGCGGAGUUUAACUUGCCGGAAGAUAUGUUCGGAGUAGAACUGAACAUAGCGGACCGGAGCCGUGGGCCAUGCAAACCGUUGGUACUAUUCCAUUACUACAACCUACAGGAGCUACUCAUAUAAAGCAUUAAGCUUUGGCAAAAAAAAGGCUCAAAAACAAAGCAAGCAGGAGACCAGUCGUUGGUCCAAAAAACAAAAUACCCAUUUGCUGAUUUUGAGUUCCCCCUCCGCUUUGCUUUUUCUGCAUUCUCGAGGUUAGUCCUAAAGUUUGCAACUUUCCCUUUACUUAAAAAAACCCAAAACAAAAACAUUUUUUAAAGAACAAGAUAGUGAAAUCUUGAAAUGUUGAUGGAGAUUGGAGAUUGUUUUUUUUUUGAAUUUAAAAAACAAUGAUAUUCUUAUUCCCCUGA
This is a long non-coding RNA of Capsella rubella, 491 nucleotides long. RefSeq lists it as uncharacterized. Lineage: Eukaryota; Viridiplantae; Streptophyta; Magnoliopsida; Brassicales; Brassicaceae. The transcript has 3 exons. The record is from RefSeq and is a predicted model, not a curated record.